This 200-nucleotide ribosomal RNA is filed under the name uncultured bacterium. Its description in RNAcentral is "partial 16S ribosomal RNA". It matches the Rfam family "Bacterial small subunit ribosomal RNA", at positions 328 to 539 of the family's 1533-position model. The record is from RNAcentral.
ACGCUCGACACCUACGAGAGGCAGCAGUUGGGAAUAUUGGACAAUGGAGGAAACUCUGAUCCAGUGACGCCGCGUGAAGGAAGAAGGUCUUCGGAUUGUAAACUUAUUUUGUCAGGGAAGAAAAAUGACUGUACCUGAAGAAAAAGCACCGGCUAACUACGUGCUAGCAGCCGCGGUAAUCUGAGGCGGGCUGGCAAGGC